RNAcentral lists this ribosomal RNA (253 nucleotides) under uncultured bacterium. RNAcentral's name for it is "partial 16S ribosomal RNA". It matches the Rfam family "Bacterial small subunit ribosomal RNA", at positions 524 to 776 of the family's 1533-position model. The record is from RNAcentral.
UACGGGGGGGGCAAGCGUUGUUCGGAAUUACUGGGCGUAAAGGGCUCGUAGGCGGCCAACUAAGUCAGACGUGAAAUCCCUCGGCUUAACCGGGGAACUGCAUCUGAUACUGGAUGGCUUGAGAUUGGGAGAGGGAUGCGGAAUUCCAGGUGUAGCGGUGAAAUGCGUAGAUAUCAAGAGGAACACCUGAGGUGAAGACGGGUUGCUGGGCUGACACUGACGCUGAGGCGCGAAAGCCAGGGGAGCAAACGGG